Molecule: transfer RNA, 72 nt
Filed under: Methylorubrum extorquens
Lineage: Bacteria; Pseudomonadati; Pseudomonadota; Alphaproteobacteria; Hyphomicrobiales; Methylobacteriaceae
Also listed under: 1 other name
Description: tRNA-Ser
Source: RNAcentral
GGGGGUCCGAAAACGGUGGCAAAUCAGCCUUCCAAGCUGAAUACCCGGGUUCGAUUCCCGGUACCCGCUCCA